UAGAAAAUGGUAUGAUCUGUCUAGAAAGGAAGGAACUACAGAUGUUGCAAGAGACGGGAGGCCUGGAGUAGCCUUGGAUGAAAAACCCUAAGGUGGAGACUGAGGCCAGCAGGCAUUAAAAACAGAUGACUUGGGAAAAUACUUCACUAAGGACUGUCUUUGGGUGGUGAGCUGAGGAAGAAAAUACAUAAUGGUAUGUAUUUGCCAGCUUAGAAUUGAAAAAGUGGAAGUCAUCUGAGAAUAUUGCACUAGAUGAAGCCUCAUACUCUACAAAGCUCAAGUGCACAAAAGGAAGGAGACAAGAUAAAGGAAAAAUGUUCUCGUAGUGACCUUCAGAAAGUGAACUGAGAUUCAGCUGGGACUCCAGAUGAACACAAAACCAUUCUUGUACCACCAACAGUUGGCAACAGUUCCUCCAUAACAGCGAUUUUUACUCUGCUACUUAAAUCACUCUCAUACUCGGAACAGUCCAC
Mauremys reevesii (Reeves's turtle) is the source of this 473-nucleotide long non-coding RNA. RefSeq lists it as uncharacterized. The record is from RefSeq and is a predicted model, not a curated record. The transcript is spliced from 4 exons. NCBI's taxonomy places the organism in Eukaryota, Metazoa, Chordata, Testudines, Geoemydidae.